AGAAGCGAACCUGCGAAGGCAAGCGGAUCUCUUAAAGCCGUUCUCAGUUCGGACUGUAGGCUGCAACUCGCCUACACGAAGCUGGAAUCGCUAGUAAUCGCGGAUCAGCACGCCGCGGUGAAUACGUUCCCGGGCCUUGUGCACACCGCCCGUCACACCAUGAGAGUCUGUAACACCCAAAGCCGGUGGGAUAACCUUUAUAGGAGUCAGCCGUCUAAGGUAGGACAGAUGAUUAGGGUGAAGUCGUAACAAGGUACC
RNAcentral lists this ribosomal RNA (258 nucleotides) under uncultured bacterium. RNAcentral describes it as "partial 16S ribosomal RNA". It matches the Rfam family "Bacterial small subunit ribosomal RNA", at positions 1245 to 1500 of the family's 1533-position model. The record is from RNAcentral.